GGCUGGAUGGCCGAGCGGUCUAAGGCGCUAGACUCAAGAACCACAAAUUCUUCUUCACUCAUAAGGUGAGGUGCAUUCUAGUCUCGAAAGAGGCGCGUGUUCGAAUCACGCUUCAGUCA
Molecule: transfer RNA, 119 nt
Filed under: Pseudoneurospora amorphoporcata
Lineage: Eukaryota; Fungi; Ascomycota; Sordariomycetes; Sordariales; Sordariaceae
Also listed under: 1 other name
Description: tRNA-Leu
Rfam family: tRNA
About the family: Transfer RNA (tRNA) molecules are approximately 80 nucleotides in length. Their secondary structure includes four short double-helical elements and three loops (D, anti-codon, and T loops).
Source: RNAcentral